GGCGGCGUGCUUAACACAUGCAAGUCGAACGCUCCUGGAGGUUGGAAGUUAGAGGUUAGAAGUUGGAUUAAGAAGGAAUUGGCCCCAGGGCCAAUUCUCACGAAAUCUAACAUCUAAUUUCCAACUUCCAACUUCCAGUGAGAGUGGCGGACGGGUGAGUAACGCGUGGAUAACCUGCCUUUAAGCCCGGGAUAACGCCUGGAAACGGGUGCUAAUACCGGAUACGUUCCCUUUAUCGCAUGGUAGGGGGAAGAAACGGGUAACACCGCUUAAAGAUGGGUCCGCGUCCCAUUAGCUGGUUGGUGGUGUAAAAGACCACCAAGGCGACGAUGGGUAGCCGGCCUGAGAGGGCGACCGGCCACACUGGGACUGAGACACGGCCCAGACUCCUACGGGAGGCAGCAGUGGGGAAUCUUGCCGCAAUGGGCGGAAGCCUGACGCAGCAACGCCGCGUGAGUGAAGAAGGCCUUCGGGUUGUAAA
This 481-nucleotide ribosomal RNA is filed under the name uncultured bacterium. RNAcentral describes it as "bacterial SSU rRNA". It matches the Rfam family "Bacterial small subunit ribosomal RNA", at positions 38 to 429 of the family's 1533-position model. The record is from RNAcentral.